This 173-nucleotide ribosomal RNA is filed under the name uncultured zygomycete. Its description in RNAcentral is "partial 18S ribosomal RNA". The record is from RNAcentral. Lineage: Eukaryota; Fungi.
AUGACUCUCGAGAGGCCAUCCAAAGAGCACGGGGUCGGUCCAAGACGGAUCUCACCUCUAGACGUCUUCAGCACUGUACACGUCGCGCGGAACGCUCUCAGAAUCCACUCGACGCAGAGCGCAGAUUCAAAUUGAGCUUUUCCCGCUCACCCGCAGUUACUAGGGGAAUCCUG